GAUGAACGCUGGCGGCGUGCCUAAUACAUGCAAGUCGAGCGAACAGACGAGGAGCUUGCUCCUCUGACGUUAGCGGCGGACGGGUGAGUAACACGUGGAUAACCUACCUAUAAGACUGGGAUAACUUCGGGAAACCGGAACUAAUACCGGAUAAUAUAUUUAACCGCAUGGUUCAAUAGUGAAAGACGGUUUUGCUGUCACUUAUAGAUGGAUCCGCGCCGCAUUAGCUAGUUGGUAAGGUAACGGCUUACCAAGGCAACGAUGCGUAGCCGACCUGAGAGGGUGAUCGGCCACACUGGAACUGAGACACGGUCCAGACUCCUACGGGAGGCAGCAGUAGGGAAUCUUCCGCAAUGGGCGAAAGCCUGACGGAGCAACGCCGCGUGAGUGAUGAAGGUCUUCGGAUCGUAAAACUCUGUUAUUAGGGAAGAACAAAUGUGUAAGUAACUAUGCACGUCUUGACGGUACCUAAUCAGAAAGCCACGGCUAACUACGUG
RNAcentral lists this ribosomal RNA (497 nucleotides) under uncultured bacterium. Its description in RNAcentral is "partial 16S ribosomal RNA". It matches the Rfam family "Bacterial small subunit ribosomal RNA", at positions 28 to 507 of the family's 1533-position model. The record is from RNAcentral.